GACGAACGCUGGCGGCGUGCUUAACACAUGCAAGUCGAACGGAAAGGCCCCUUCGGGGGUACUCGAGUGGCGAACGGGUGAGUAACACGUGAGUAACCUGCCCUUGACUUCGGGAUAACUUCAGGAAACCGGGGCUAAUACCGGAUAGGAAUCCUUGCUGCAUGGUGGGGGUUGGAAAGCUUCGGCGGUUUUGGAUGGACUCGCGGCUUAUCAGCUUGUUGGUGGGGUAGUGGCUUACCAAGGCUUUGACGGGUAGCCGGCCUGAGAGGGCGACCGGCCACAUUGGGACUGAGAUACGGCCCAGACUCCUACGGGAGGCAGCAGUGGGGAAUAUUGCACAAUGGGCGGAAGCCUGAUGCAGCAACGCCGCGUGCGGGAUGACGGCCUUCGGGUUGUAAACCGCUUUCAGCAGGGGCGAAGCUUGUGGUGACGGUACCUGCAGAAGAAGCACCGGCUAACUACGUG
RNAcentral lists this ribosomal RNA (465 nucleotides) under uncultured bacterium. RNAcentral's name for it is "partial 16S ribosomal RNA". It matches the Rfam family "Bacterial small subunit ribosomal RNA", at positions 28 to 507 of the family's 1533-position model. The record is from RNAcentral.